UGAGGAAUAUUGGUCAAUGGACGGAAGUCUGAACCAGCCAAGUAGCGUGCAGGAUGACGGCCCUAUGGGUUGUAAAACUGCUUUUGUAUGGGGAUAAAGUUAGGGGACGUGUCCCUAUUUGCAGGUACCAUACGAAUAAGGACCGGCUAAUUCCGUGCCAGCAGCCGCGGUAAU
This 174-nucleotide ribosomal RNA is filed under the name uncultured Prevotella sp. RNAcentral's name for it is "partial 16S ribosomal RNA". It matches the Rfam family "Bacterial small subunit ribosomal RNA", at positions 355 to 524 of the family's 1533-position model. Lineage: Bacteria; Pseudomonadati; Bacteroidota; Bacteroidia; Bacteroidales; Prevotellaceae. The record is from RNAcentral.